RNAcentral lists this ribosomal RNA (432 nucleotides) under uncultured archaeon. RNAcentral describes it as "bacterial SSU rRNA". It matches the Rfam family "Archaeal small subunit ribosomal RNA", at positions 474 to 903 of the family's 1478-position model. The record is from RNAcentral.
UACCAGCUCUCCGAGUGGUGUGGAUGUUUAUUGGGCCUAAAGCAUCCGUAGCUGGCCAAGUUAGUCCCCUGUUAAAUCCACCGAAUUAAUCGUUGGAGUGCGGGGGAUACUGCUCGGCUAGGGGACGAGAGAGGCCGACGGUAUUUUCGGGGUAGGGGUGAAAUCCUAUAAUCCCGGGAAGACCACCAGUGGCGAAGGCUGUCGGCUAGAACGCGCCCGACGGUGAGGGAUGAAAGCUGGGGGAGCGAACCGGAUUAGAUACCCGGGUAGUCCCAGCUGUAAACGAUGCAGGCUAGGUGUUUGGGCGGCCACGGGCCGCUCUAGUGCCGCAGGGAAGCUGUUAAGCCUGCCGCCGUGGGGAGUACGGCCGCAAGGCUGAAACUUAAAGGAAUUGGGCGGGGGAGCACCACGAAGGGGUGAAGCUUGCGGUUU